CAGAGGGUGCAAGCGUUGCUCGGAAUUAUUGGGCGUAAAGGGUAGGUAGGUGGUCUCAUUUGUCCGGGGUGAAAGCCUUGAGCUUAACUCAAGAAGUGCCCCGGAAACGGUGAGACUGGAGUCUUGGAGAGGGUCGUGGAAUUCCCGGUGUAGCGGUGAAAUGCGUAGAGAUCGGGAGGAACACCAGAGGCGAAAGCGGCGACCUGGACAAGUACUGACACUCAACUACGAAAGCGUGGGGAGCAAACAGGAUUAGAUACCCUGGUAGUCCACGCUGUAAACGAUGGGUACUAGGUUUGGUGGGUCUUGACCCCCGCCGAACCGGCGCUAACGCAAUAAGUACCCCGCCUGGGAAGUACGGUCGCAAGACUA
Molecule: ribosomal RNA, 372 nt
Filed under: uncultured organism
Description: bacterial SSU rRNA
Rfam family: Bacterial small subunit ribosomal RNA
Source: RNAcentral